UCCGGAUCAAGAAGGAGGAGGGAGAGUUGGUUCGAAAUCCAGAAAAGAUCCAGGGGACACACAGAGAUUAGAGAGUAUUGAGAGAUGGGGUGGGCAUGGGCGAUCUACGAGAGCGUCAUCGUUUUGGGGUCACUGAUCCUACUGGGUUGGACGGGGCUAUGGUUCCUCAACCAAAGGCUCUACAAGGAGUACGAAGAGAAGCGCGUACUAGUCCAGAUCAUCUUCAGCGUCGUCUUCGCUUUCUCUUGCAAUCUCUUCCAACUCGUCCUCUUUGAGAUCAUCCCUAUUCUCUCCAAAGAGGCAAGAUGGAUGAACUGGAAGCUGGAUUUGUUUUGUUUGAUACUGUUGCUGGUUUUCAUGCUGCCUUAUUAUCAUUGUUACUUGAUGCUUUGCAAUAACGGUUUAAGGAAGGAACGAGCUGCACUUGGAGCCAUCUUGUUUUUGCUGGCAUUUCUCUAUGCCUUUUGGCGCAUGGGCAUUCACUUUCCUAUGCCUUCACCUGCUAAAGGUUUCUUCACCAUGCCGCAAUUGGUCAGUAGAAUUGGGGUCAUUGGUGUUACUGUCAUGGCUGUCCUAUCUGGUUUUGGAGCUGUAAAUUUGCCAUACAGUUACUUGUCGCUCUUCAUUAGAGAGAUUGAGGAGACAGAGAUCAAGGCAUUGGAAAGACAACUAAUGCAAUCAAUUGAGACUUGUGUUGCAAAGAAGAAGAAAAUUAUUCUUGGUCAAAUGGAGAUGGAACGCAUUCAAGGAUCAGAGGAGAUAAAGGGUAGAUCCUUUUUUAAACGAAUUGUUGGCACAGUUGUACGAUCUGUGCAUGAAGACCAAAGGGAACAAGACAUCAAAAGCAUGGAAGCAGAGGUACAAGCUUUAGAAGAGCUCUCAAAGCAGCUAUUUUUGGAAAUCUAUGAGCUUCGGCAAGCGAAGGAGGCUGCUGCUUUUUCUCGAACCUGGAGGGGUCACAUGCAGAAUCUACUUGGCUAUGCCUGUUCAGUCUAUUGUGUGUACAAAAUGAUUAAGUCUUUGCAAAGCGUUGUUUUCAAGGAGGCUGGUUCAGUUGAUCCUGUGACUAUGACCAUAAGCAUAUUCUUGCAGUUCUUUGAUAUUGGAAUCAAUGCUGCAUUAUUGUCGCAGUAUAUUUCGUUGUUAUUCAUUGGAAUUUUGAUCGUUAUAUCAGUUCGAGGAUUCCUAACAAAUCUAAUGAAGUUCUUUUUUGCAGUUUCCAGAGUUGGUAGUGGAUCUUCAAGUAAUGUUGUACUUUUUCUGUCUGAGAUUAUGGGAAUGUAUUUUGUUUCCUCAAUUCUUUUGAUAAGGAAAAGCUUAGCAACUGAAUACAGGAUCAUCAUAACAGAUGUCUUAGGAGAUAUUCAGUUUGACUUUUACCACCGUUGGUUUGAUGCGAUCUUUGUGGCCAGUGCUUUCCUUUCUCUGCUUUUGCUUUCUGCACAUUAUACAUCUCGCCAAGCUGACAAACAUCCAAUUGAUUAAUGUAAUUUGUGGAAAAUUACUUGUACAAUGUUACGGUUCGUGGCCAAAACAGGUACAAUAUUCAGGAUUAAUAUUGCAGGUAAAAAGUUCAUCAGUAAUGUUGAGAAAAGUUAUUCAUCACCUUAGGACAAUUUUUUACGUGAGCAAUCAAAGGACGAUGGUUAGUGAAGGGCAAUACAAUGAAGCAUUAUCUGACAUUGGUCUGAUUUUUGGGUGGAAUGCUCGUGUGUAUAAAUUUUUUUUUUUUUUGGGUAUGAAAGAAAGUAGUAUCCAAUUACUAUGAUGAAUGAUUUGUAAUAUACGGUUUCUUAAAUUCAUUAAUUUCAAAAUGGCCAUUCUUUCAAUGUGUAUGAAAUAAUAGAAAAGAUGAGUAUGUGAAAAGCCUUGUAGCUCGGUUGGUUGAUA
This is an RNA transcript of Quercus robur (English oak), 1890 nucleotides long. It is a transcript of the gene named GPCR-type G protein 2, with no coding region annotated. The record is from RefSeq and is a predicted model, not a curated record. The transcript is spliced from 15 exons. Lineage: Eukaryota; Viridiplantae; Streptophyta; Magnoliopsida; Fagales; Fagaceae.